GCGCGUGUGGCGAAAUUGGUAGACGCACCAGAUUUAGGUUCUGGCGCCGCGAGGCGUGGGGGUUCAAGUCCCUCCACGCGCA
RNAcentral lists this transfer RNA (82 nucleotides) under Tritonibacter multivorans. Its description in RNAcentral is "Tropicibacter sp. CECT 7557 tRNA". It matches the Rfam family "tRNA". From Rfam's summary of the family: Transfer RNA (tRNA) molecules are approximately 80 nucleotides in length. The record is from Rfam by way of RNAcentral. Lineage: Bacteria; Pseudomonadati; Pseudomonadota; Alphaproteobacteria; Rhodobacterales; Paracoccaceae.